UUGAAAUGCAGGUGCAGCUGGACAUUCUCCUGAGCUAAAAGCAUAUUUAUUUAGUCCCGUCAAACGGAUUAUUACUUUUGCUGCAGCUAAUAUAAAGGGAGUUUGACCGUUUUGGCUGACUGAUGCAGGAUUUCACAAGGUCGGUAACGAUUCUUGUAAAACUCGAUCUCAAAUCAAGUAAGACUACCCGCUGAACUUAG
RNAcentral lists this unclassified non-coding RNA (200 nucleotides) under soil metagenome. RNAcentral describes it as "partial contains internal transcribed spacer 2 and large subunit ribosomal RNA". The record is from RNAcentral.